AGUGAACGCUGGCGGUAGGCCUAACACAUGCAAGUCGAACGGCAGCACAGUAAGCGCUUGCUCUUACGGGUGGCGAGUGGCGGACGGGUGAGGCAUACAUCGGAAUCUACUUUUUCGUGGGGGAUAACGUAGGGAAACUUACGCUAAUACCUCAUACGACCUACGGGUUAAAGCAGUGGAUCUUCGGACCUUUCGCGAUUGAAUGAGCCGAUGUCGAAUUAGCUAGUUGGCUGGGUAAAGGCCCACCAAGGCGACGAUCCGUAGCUGGUCUGAGAGGAUGAUCGGCCAAACUGGAACUGAGACACGGUCCAGACUCCUACGGGAGGCAGCAGUGGGGAAUAUUGGACAAAGGGCGAAAGCCUGAUCCAGCAAUACCGCGUGAGUGAAGAAGGCCUUCGGGUUGUAAAGCCCUUUUGUUGGGAAAGAAAAGCAGCAGGUUAAUACCCCGCUGUUCUGACGGUACCCAAAGAAUAAGCACCGGCUAACUUCGUG
Molecule: ribosomal RNA, 492 nt
Filed under: uncultured bacterium
Lineage: Bacteria
Description: partial 16S ribosomal RNA
Rfam family: Bacterial small subunit ribosomal RNA
Source: RNAcentral